UGGUUAAAGCAGCCCUAGAUGAAGGAGGCGCACGGCAAGGAGUUAGUUUGGCUCUGGCAGUCCUGAUUGUGGGAGCUCUGGUGAGCUGCUCCUGCCCUUCAGCCAGCAGUGCCUGUGGCCUCUCCUUGGUGCCCUCGCCCUGCCUGCAGUGUGUCUGGAGCUCUGAGGAGCGGGGCAGCCUCGGAGGCUUCGCUUUCCUUCCCAUCCGGCCGUGCUGAAACGGGAGCUGAGCCUUGGCACGGGUUUGUUUGUCCUCUGGAGAGCCUCGGGCGCUCACCCUGGGCUCAGCGGGUCCAGCGCUUGCUCUGCUCACUGCAGGUGAGUUGAUCCUGCCUGGUGCUGAGCAGGAGUCCUCUGGGAUAAGGGGAAAGCCUUGCAUCUUCCCCCGAAGGCAGCACCU
RNAcentral lists this long non-coding RNA (400 nucleotides) under Ficedula albicollis (Collared flycatcher). Its description in RNAcentral is "lncRNA (ENSFALG00000027705.1)". The record is from RNAcentral. Lineage: Eukaryota; Metazoa; Chordata; Aves; Passeriformes; Muscicapidae.